CCGAGUUCGUGCCCUCGCGGGUCGACCUCCCACCCUUGAAUACCAUACCCUUGUUGCUUUGGCAGGCCGUGGCCACACCGCGGGCUCCGGCCGGCGAGCGCCUGCCAGAGGAGACCAACCCUGCCCUCCGUGCCGUCUGAGUACUAGAUAAUAGUUA
RNAcentral lists this unclassified non-coding RNA (157 nucleotides) under uncultured Helotiales. RNAcentral describes it as "sequence contains ITS1". The record is from RNAcentral. Lineage: Eukaryota; Fungi; Ascomycota; Leotiomycetes; Helotiales.